This 468-nucleotide ribosomal RNA is filed under the name uncultured bacterium. RNAcentral's name for it is "partial 16S ribosomal RNA". It matches the Rfam family "Bacterial small subunit ribosomal RNA", at positions 28 to 507 of the family's 1533-position model. The record is from RNAcentral.
GACGAACGCUGGCGGCGUGCUUAACACAUGCAAGUCGAACGGAAAGGCCCUGCUUUUGUGGGGUGCUCGAGUGGCGAACGGGGGAGUAACACGUGAGUAACCUGCCCUUCACUUUGGGAUAACUUCAGGAAACUGGGGCUAAUACCGGAUAGGAGCUCCUGCUGCAUGGUGGGGGUGGGAUAGUUUCGGCUGUUGGGGAUGGACUCGCGGCUUAUCAGCUUGUUGGUGGGGUAGUGGCUUACCAAGGCUUUGACGGGUAGCCGGCCUGAGAGGGUGACCGGGCACCAUGGGACUGAGAUACGGAGCAGAGUCCUACGGGAGGCAGCAGUGGGGAGUAUUGCACAAUGGGCCGAAGUCUGAGGCAGCAACGCCGCGUGCGGGAUGACGGCCUUCGGGUUGUGAACAGCUUUCGCCUGUGACGAAGCGUGAGUGACGGUAAUGGGUAAAGAAGCACCGGCUAACUACGUG